RNAcentral lists this ribosomal RNA (485 nucleotides) under uncultured bacterium. RNAcentral's name for it is "bacterial SSU rRNA". It matches the Rfam family "Bacterial small subunit ribosomal RNA", at positions 30 to 508 of the family's 1533-position model. The record is from RNAcentral.
AUUGAACGCUGGCGGCAGGCCUAACACAUGCAAGUCGAGCGGAUGAGAGGAGCUUGCUCCUUGAUUUAGCGGCGGACGGGUGAGUAAUGCCUAGGAAUCUGCCUGGUAGUGGGGGAUAACGUUCCGAAAGGAACGCUAAUACCGCAUACGUCCUACGGGAGAAAGCAGGGGACCUUCGGGCCUUGCGCUAUCAGAUGAGCCUAGGUCGGAUUAGCUAGUUGGUGAGGUAAUGGCUCACCAAGGCGACGAUCCGUAACUGGUCUGAGAGGAUGAUCAGUCACACUGGAACUGAGACACGGUCCAGACUCCUACGGGAGGCAGCAGUGGGGAAUAUUGGACAAUGGGCGAAAGCCUGAUCCAGCCAUGCCGCGUGUGUGAAGAAGGUCUUCGGAUUGUAAAGCACUUUAAGUUGGGAGGAAGGGCAGUAAGCUAAUACCUUGCUGUUUUGACGUUACCGACAGAAUAAGCACCGGCUAACUUCGUGC